AAAGUGGUGCUCAAUCUGCACUUUGUAUAGUGCGAGUGGAGCACUGCUGACU
Molecule: microRNA precursor, 52 nt
Filed under: Oreochromis niloticus (Nile tilapia)
Lineage: Eukaryota; Metazoa; Chordata; Actinopteri; Cichliformes; Cichlidae
Description: microRNA oni-mir-10610b precursor (oni-mir-10610b-2)
Source: miRBase by way of RNAcentral